RNAcentral lists this ribosomal RNA (772 nucleotides) under uncultured bacterium. RNAcentral's name for it is "bacterial SSU rRNA". It matches the Rfam family "Bacterial small subunit ribosomal RNA", at positions 8 to 796 of the family's 1533-position model. The record is from RNAcentral.
AGAGUUUGAUCAUGGCUCAGGACGAACGCUGGCGGCGUGCUUAACACAUGCAAGUCGAACGAUGAGGCCUUUCGGGGCUGAUUAGUGGCGAACGGGUGAGUAACACGUGGGCAACCUGCCCUCCACUCUGGGAUAACUCCGGGAAACCGGGGCUAAUACUGGAUACGACCUGCCCUCGCAUGGGGGUGGGUGGAAAGUUUUUCGGUGGAGGAUGGGCCCGCGGCCUAUCAGCUUGUUGGUGGGGUGAUGGCCUACCAAGGCGGUGACGGGUAGCCGGCCUGAGAGGGCGACCGGCCACACUGGGACUGAGACACGGCCCAGACUCCUGCGGGAGGCAGCAGUGGGGAAUAUUGCACAAUGGGCGAAAGCCUGAUGCAGCGACGCCGCGUGAGGGAUGACGGCCUUCGGGUUGUAAACCUCUUUCAGCAGGGACCAAGCUUUCGGGUGAGUGUACCUGCAGAAGAAGCACCGGCUAACUACGUGCCAGCAGCCGCGGUAAUACGUAGGGUGCGAGCGUUGUCCGGAUUUAUUGGGCGUAAAGGGCUCGUAGGCGGCCUGUCGCGUCGGAAGUGAAAGCCCACUGCUUAACGGUGGGUCUGCUUCCGGUACGGGCAGGCUGGAGUAUGGCAGGGGAGACUGGAAUUCCUGGUGUAGCGGUGGAAUGCGCAGAUAUCAGGAGGAACACCGGUGGCGAAGGCGGGUCUCUGGGCCAUUACUGACGCUGAGGAGCGAAAGCGUGGGGAGCGAACAGGAUUAGAUACCCUAGUAGUCC